GGGCUGGGGGUAACGGGUAACUCCUUGAGUGCUUCCAGGCAGCGCCGCACCGGCUGCAGCGUGGCAGCACUUUAGCUGGAUGCGGGCAGGACCGGUGCCAGGCAUGUCCCGGUCUGCGCAGCAUCAAACCAUGAGGGCCAAGAGAAACAACGCAGCCCUUCCUAGAAAUGCGCUCUGGAGCUUAAAAGAUGGACCUAAUUGAAAAAAUGUAUUGAAGUUGUACCAGGGGAUAAAAGGGAAAAGCUGGGCUGAGAUUAACCUGGAGCUCAGCGAGCCGAGAAGCGCAGCAGCCGCGGCCAGGUCCCUAAGCCAAUUCCCAGCCACGGCCUCCCAGCCGCCCACUGAAUCCAUGCCCGGCAGGGAGGUGGUUUGCUCUGGAUGCAGGUCUGGCAGGAGAGCCCGGCACGCUCUGGUUUUGUGCUUCAGGGCACGACUGGUCCUGAGUGGGAACUCCCCACCCAGCCUCGCACCCCCACUCCCCUCCUGCAUCCGAGAGCGGCCAAGCACGGUGUGGAGGUGGGAUGCGACGGCGGGCAUCGUGCCUCCAGCUCCUAGGACCGGCACCAGCGGUGAGGACCAGCGGUGGGGCUGGGGACCUGGGUCCCGCUAAGAGGAUGAAAACAUGGGGCUCAAGUUAUCCUGCCUGAAAGGCUUGAAGACGUGCGUGAGCAGCGGGAACGGCAACGACAGGACCCCGGCGGCAUCCCCAGGCGAGAAGAACCUGCACGUGCCCUCCAUCAUCGUCACGCCGCCCACGCCCACGGGGACCAUGCUGUCCCGCGAGACCCGGCGGGUGGGGGGGCCACCGCCGUGCAGCCAGUGCUGAGCACGGGCACCGGGGAGGGGGAAUCCGUCCCCACUCCACCGGGAUGGAGCCACAGCCGCCGGGAUGCAAACUGGCUGGACCCAGCACCCCGGGAGCUCCCCGGGGACACGCCGGGCACCCAUCACACGGGUGGGUUUGGACACCGGUGACUGUUUUUUCUCUUUUUUCCUAAAAGCACCGGGGAGGGGGUGGCAUCGCGCGGCAUCUCCCCGGUGAAUAAAACCCCUGGGGCUCUGCACCCCCCCAGGUUUGGCACCCA
Long non-coding RNA from Harpia harpyja (harpy eagle), 1085 nucleotides. RefSeq lists it as uncharacterized. NCBI's taxonomy places the organism in Eukaryota, Metazoa, Chordata, Aves, Accipitriformes, Accipitridae. The transcript is spliced from 4 exons. The record is from RefSeq and is a predicted model, not a curated record.